Molecule: ribosomal RNA, 253 nt
Filed under: uncultured bacterium
Lineage: Bacteria
Description: partial 16S ribosomal RNA
Rfam family: Bacterial small subunit ribosomal RNA
Source: RNAcentral
UACGAAGGGUGCUAGCGUUGUUCGGAAUUACUGGGCGUAAAGCGCGCGUAGGCGGUUUAACAAGUCAGAGGUGAAAGCCCUGGGCUCAACCCAGGAAUUGCCUUUGAAACUGUUAGACUUGAGUGUCGGAGGGGAUAGCGGAAUUGCUAAUGUAGAGGUGAAAUUCGUAGAUAUUAGCAGGAACACCGGUGGCGAAGGCGGCUAUCUGGACGACAACUGACGCUGAGGCGCGAAAGCGUGGGGAUCAAACAGG